Molecule: small RNA, 27 nt
Filed under: Bombyx mori (domestic silkworm)
Lineage: Eukaryota; Metazoa; Arthropoda; Insecta; Lepidoptera; Bombycidae
Description: ovarian small RNA-25832
Source: RNAcentral
UCAGUUAAUAAUAAAUGGAGCGCUGGU